Molecule: small RNA, 669 nt
Filed under: Cryptococcus neoformans H99
Lineage: Eukaryota; Fungi; Basidiomycota; Tremellomycetes; Tremellales; Cryptococcaceae
Description: Cryptococcus neoformans var. grubii H99 hypothetical RNA
Source: RNAcentral
CCGCUCACUGCGCUUCGUAAGUGGAAAGUGUCCUUCCUCUUUCGUCUUUCCCCCGCUGUACGAUGUAGCAGGCAUUUUUUGUGCUUUAUCGCGUUAGCGUGCGGGAAGGAGGAGUCGAGAGCCAAAAAGAGAAGAGUCACCAGUGCCAAGUGCUGUGCCCAAUCAAUACACGAUAUGGCCAUCCGCCACAUACCGCUCCAUACUCCAUUGUCACUCGCCAUCAUCCAUAAACAACGCACAGCUCCUGGCCAUCCUUCAUCCACCGCCCGUCCCUCGCAGACAAAGGAUGUUUGAGAAGAUGAAGAGGCAAAGGAAAAAAAAAACGUUGAAAAGUCGGGAAAGGAGAUGUGAAGCAUGAUGAUCAUUUUCGGAGAUCCGGUUGUCGGUGGAAUUUGAGGGUGGACUGGAGUUGAUCGACACAAGCGACAAUUAAACAACGCGCCCUUUUUGCUUUGUUGUUGUUCGUUUCUUCUCGCCGUUUCCUCUUUGUUCCAUCUUCAUCUCUGUCUGGAAGUGAGCGCUGGGUGCUGGCAUUCCCUUAUCCAGCCCACCUCCUACCAGUUCUUCUCCAUCUUAACAUAGCUGCCAUGCUCUAUGCUAUAUUAUAAACGUCUGCGCCACUCUAAUAGCCAUACAUGAAUAACGAGAAGACUGUGCUAGCAGACAAAU